RNAcentral lists this ribosomal RNA (751 nucleotides) under Escherichia coli. RNAcentral's name for it is "partial 23S ribosomal RNA". It matches the Rfam family "Bacterial large subunit ribosomal RNA", at positions 1 to 795 of the family's 2925-position model. The record is from RNAcentral. Lineage: Bacteria; Pseudomonadati; Pseudomonadota; Gammaproteobacteria; Enterobacterales; Enterobacteriaceae.
GGUUAAGCGACUAAGCGUACACGGUGGAUGCCCUGGCAGUCAGAGGCGAUGAAGGACGUGCUAAUCUGCGAUAAGCGUCGGUGAGGUGAUAUGAACCGUUAUAACCGGCGAUUUCCGAAUGGGGAAACCCAGUGUGUUUCGACACACUAUCAUUAACUGAAUCCAUAGGUUAAUGAGGCGAACCGGGGGAACUGAAACAUCUAAGUACCCCGAGGAAAAGAAAUCAACCGAGAUUCCCCCAGUAGCGGCGAGCGAACGGGGAGGAGCCCAGAGCCUGAAUCAGUGUGUGUGUUAGUGGAAGCGUCUGGAAAGGCGCGCGAUACAGGGUGACAGCCCCGUACACAAAAAUGCACAUAUUGUGAGCUCGAUGAGUAGGGCGGGACACGUGGUAUCCUGUCUGAAUAUGGGGGGACCAUCCUCCAAGGCUAAAUACUCCUGACUGACCGAUAGUGAACCAGUACCGUGAGGGAAAGGCGAAAAGAACCCCGGCGAGGGGAGUGAAAAAGAACCUGAAACCGUGUACGUACAAGCAGUGGGAGCCUCUUAAUGGGGUGACUGCGUACCUUUUGUAUAAUGGGUCAGCGACUUAUAUUCUGUAGCAAGGUUAACCGAAUAGGGGAGCCGAAGGGAAACCGAGUCUUAACUGGGCGUUAAGUUGCAGGGUAUAGACCCGAAACCCGGUGAUCUAGCCAUGGGCAGGUUGAAGGUUGGGUAACACUAACUGGAGGACCGAACCGACUAAUGUUGAAAA